Molecule: ribosomal RNA, 253 nt
Filed under: uncultured bacterium
Lineage: Bacteria
Description: partial 16S ribosomal RNA
Rfam family: Bacterial small subunit ribosomal RNA
Source: RNAcentral
UACAGAGGGGGCAAGCGUUGUUCGGAAUUACUGGGCGUAAAGGGCGCGUAGGCGGCCUUCUAAGUCGAACGUGAAAUCCCCGGGCUCAACCCGGGAACUGCGUCCGAUACUGGAAGGCUCGAAUCCGGGAGAGGGAUGCGGAAUUCCAGGUGUAGCGGUGAAAUGCGUAGAUAUCUGGAGGAACACCGGUGGCGAAGGCGGCAUCCUGGACCGGUAUUGACGCUGAGGCGCGAAGGCCAGGGGAGCAAACGGG